UUUAUUAAGAGUUUGAUCCUGGCUCAGGAUGAACGCUGGCGGCGUGCCUAACACAUGCAAGUCGAGCGAGAAUCUGUUGAAUGAAACUUCGGUAGAUUUCUUCAGAGGAAAGCGGCGGACGGGUGAGUAACGCGUAGGCAACCUACCUCUUGCAGAGGGAUAGCCUCGGGAAACCGGGAUUAAAACCUCAUAAUGCAGAAGACUGACAUCUUUCUUCUGCCAAAGAUUUAUCGGCAAGAGAUGGGCCUGCGUCUGAUUAGCUAGUUGGUGGGGUAACGGCCUACCAAGGC
This 290-nucleotide ribosomal RNA is filed under the name Candidatus Colimonas fimequi. Its description in RNAcentral is "partial 16S ribosomal RNA". It matches the Rfam family "Bacterial small subunit ribosomal RNA", at positions 1 to 274 of the family's 1533-position model. Lineage: Bacteria; Bacillati; Bacillota; Clostridia; Peptostreptococcales; Anaerovoracaceae. The record is from RNAcentral.